Long non-coding RNA from Lepidothrix coronata (blue-crowned manakin), 1452 nucleotides. RefSeq lists it as uncharacterized. The transcript has 7 exons. The record is from RefSeq and is a predicted model, not a curated record. NCBI's taxonomy places the organism in Eukaryota, Metazoa, Chordata, Aves, Passeriformes, Pipridae.
UCUUGGAAUGCUGUGAACUCCCGAAGCUAUCCAUGACCACUGGAUCUGACUAAAGGACCUGUUUUCCUGCUGGUUGCCUUUAUCAGAUGUGUCUGCAAGGGGAGUCUUCAGCACAGUUGUUGGAUUUCAGAGCCCAGCAGACAUGGAUGGAGGGCAGAGGAAGGAGCAGACGUAUUAAAGAAGGGGAUCCAGGUGGGAAUAAUAUUUAUGGGAAGAUUGCCUGCACCUCAUCUCUGCUACUGUGUCAGCUGUUGGAGUAGAUGGAAUGAGCUGUGCUGAGCUUGUCUGGCUCUGAAAUAUCAUCUCUGCACCUUAACCAGGAGGGAUAUUAGAGUCCCAAACCGACUAACAAAAAUCAGUCAUAACCCAGGAGCAACCUCGGCAAUACAUGUCCGUGCUCUGACCCAGACUACCAAUGUCAAGUGUUUUGUUUUUCUGUGUGGUUGCUGGGGGUAGGUUCUCCCCCCAUAGCUCUCCACAGGUUUUGCUGUUUGAAAGGGAGCUCAGUGCAGCAUCAAUUGGCUUCUCCCUUUGUGAAAUGUUGAGCACACAGAGCCCAGGCAGGCUGAUGGUGUAAAGCAAAACCUGAAAAUGGUCUAACGCUGCUAAACCCAAUCAGAAGUAAUUGCUGUUGCUUAUCAGUGGACUUUUCAGUUCUGCCACCCACGUUUGGAGAUGUCUGUGACUCACUGCACCAAUGACAUCAGGUCGGAGAGAGGCCACAAACCUCCACUGCAGGAUGGUGAGACUGUUGAUCUAAACACUCCCCAAACCUACUGCUGAACUGACUUGGAACCAGAAUCUGGAGGGGACUAUGUGAAGCACUUGACACUAGAAAAUGCUUGAAGCUUGAUGGUGAUCCACAGCUCCCGGUUCAAAACCACGAGCAGUGCCAGUGGUGACGAGCUCGCUGCCUGCUCUGUGCAGAACUGGUGGUCCUGAGCAGCAGGGCUGUGGAAGGAAUGGGCUGAUGGCUUUUUGGGGCACUCAGAACCUUCCAUCUUUGCUGCUUUGCCCACACUAGAGAGCGCAUUUUACCAGAGCAAUACCUGAAGAGCGGGAAGGAUGAACAAGCCUGCCCUGCCACUGGCUGUCAGUGGAUAUCGGGCUUGUUACAGGCAUUCAAGUUACAUCUUGUACAAGUCCAUGCUGUCAAUCCACAGGAUUCCAGGCUGAGCUCAGAUCAGCUCUGUCACUUACCAGAUGAGUGAGGACCAGACUCUGCAUCACAUUUCCACAGCUGGAGACAAGUGGGUCGAAUCCCUCCUGUCGACAAGAUGAGGAAUGUGUCAUGUCUUGUCUUGCCAUGUACAGCAGAUAUCCUGAUUUAAAACAAUGCUGUCUUCCCAGAUUCCACUUCUUCCUGUGCCUCCUUGCAUAUGAGAGGACCCAUCCAUCUUAAUCCUGUCACUUUGUCUCUCCCACCUCUACUUCCCUUUUCUACUAAUCCAC